This 250-nucleotide ribosomal RNA is filed under the name uncultured bacterium. Its description in RNAcentral is "partial 16S ribosomal RNA". It matches the Rfam family "Bacterial small subunit ribosomal RNA", at positions 524 to 773 of the family's 1533-position model. The record is from RNAcentral.
UACGUACUGUGCGAACGUUAUUCGGAAUCACUGGGCUUAAAGGGUGCGUAGGCGGCCGAUUAAGUAGGGUGUGAAAUGCCUCGGCUCAACCGAGGAAUGGCGCUCUAAACUGGUCGGCUUGAGUGAGAUAGGGGUGUGCGGAACUUCCAGUGGAGCGGUGAAAUGUGUUGAUAUUGGAAGGAACGCCGGUAGCGAAAGCGGCACACUGGGUCUCAACUGACGCUGAGGCACGAAAGCCAGGGUAGCGAAC